Molecule: non-coding RNA, 27 nt
Filed under: Homo sapiens (human)
Lineage: Eukaryota; Metazoa; Chordata; Mammalia; Primates; Hominidae
Source: RNAcentral
AUGGAGAUGACUUGGAUGGAUGUCCCU